Long non-coding RNA from Hipposideros armiger (great roundleaf bat), 488 nucleotides. RefSeq lists it as uncharacterized. The transcript has 3 exons. NCBI's taxonomy places the organism in Eukaryota, Metazoa, Chordata, Mammalia, Chiroptera, Hipposideridae. The record is from RefSeq and is a predicted model, not a curated record.
ACUAACCUGGCUGGCAGUAUAUAAGCAACAACCUGAAUUACAUGUAAACAGAAAGGGGUAAAUUCCAAGCACAUCCUAAAGGAGAAGUGCUACUCAUUUUCCGUAACCCAGAUGCCUUUUUAACCCAUCCAUGCAUGCUCCAUCUAAAACAGGGUACAGUUCCCAAAGGAGAAAACACUGCCCUCCAGUGGUCUUCAUUGGAAAAAAUGGAAAUAAUUUCAGGUGGAAACCAGGCUUCUUGGAAGAUUUCAAACUAUGCCAAAUGGUCUGAUUUUACCAUAGAGAUCUUUUGCUGAGGAAUGCAGCUGUAUUAGAGGAAGAAAACCAAGCUACAGUCCUUAGCAUUUAACAAGCAUUUUAAAGACAGUACCAAUUAAGAAUUUAAGCUGCUUUAACACAAGUUCUUGCCUUUCACUCCCACCCUGUGGCUUACACUGGUAUUACACUCAUUCUGACAUUUAAAAGUCAACAAUGAAAAGCAUGGUAAU